RNAcentral lists this long non-coding RNA (914 nucleotides) under Mus spicilegus (steppe mouse). Its description in RNAcentral is "lncRNA (ENSMSIG00000018234.1)". The record is from RNAcentral. Lineage: Eukaryota; Metazoa; Chordata; Mammalia; Rodentia; Muridae.
GGCUCUGAGAGAGUCAGGGAUGAAGCAGUUUGUGUUUUGAGAUGGUCUUUUUUAUGUAGCCCAGGCUGGCAGCAAUCUUGUGGCAAUCCUGGCUUAGCCUCUCCCACGUGCUAGGUUACGCGUGUAUACGUCACACCCAUCCAAGGCUAUUUUAUUUUGUGUUUUGUUGUGUUUGUUUUUUUUGUGUUGUUUGUUUGUUUGUGUUAAGACAGGGUUUCUCUGUAGCCCUGGCUGUCCUAGAACUUCCUACAUACAGCAGGCUGGCCUCGAACUCGGAGAUCCACCUGCCUUUGCCACCGGAGUCCUGAUAUCAAAGGCGAAUGCCAGCACCGCCAGGCCCAAAGCACAGUUCUUAACAUCCAGGUCUGAUGGGAAAGAACAGAUCCUCACCCUGGAUGAGACAGGGCACCUCACCACUCCUGUCUGCCGUUUCCGAUCAGCUGAUCUACAUCCUGUUGCUUCACUCCUACUGAUGCUCAAGUCAGUGCCGUCCCUCGGUUCACACACCUGAGCGUGUGGUGAGUUUACGUAGGGAUCACGUGACUGGAUGAAGCUGAAUGACAGGAGUCGGGGUCCCCACAGUCCGGUUUCUGCCUUCUGUUGCAAGGAGUUCGCCUAGCAAGACUCUGGAAAGGGGGUUCCCCUGCACCUCUCCUCACCUCCUACAGCAGCCAGUAGGGAUGGCCCGCCAUUGAGAAGCCUGUCAAAGCUGUGCUCUCAGCAUCCGGGCUGCUUCUGUGCUACCGCCAGUGCCCAGCAACCACCAGGGACUGGGCAACAGCAAAAGUGAAGCUGACUCAGCCGGUUUCCACCCCCGCCCAGGGAAAUGGGGAGCAGCCUCGGCUGGACAACAACCAAUUAGGCACUUUUUAUUGCCCACGCUGUCAUAAUCCUUCAGAGCUUGGCUGGGAGGA